Long non-coding RNA from Cervus elaphus (red deer), 1881 nucleotides. RefSeq lists it as uncharacterized. The transcript has 2 exons. Lineage: Eukaryota; Metazoa; Chordata; Mammalia; Artiodactyla; Cervidae. The record is from RefSeq and is a predicted model, not a curated record.
AACCAUAGGUCAGUUCUGCCUGUCCUUGAACUUCAUACUAAAUCAUAUAACACGUCCUCUUUUUCAGCCCGGGUUCCUUUACUCAAGCACAAUGUACGUGAGACUCAUCCCUGCGGCUGCAUCAGUCCCUUUUUAUCACUGCGUUGGCUUCCACUGUAAGAACAGAUCCCAGAUUAUCUCCUGUCCUGUUUGUGGAUACCUGGACUGGUUCCAAGUGAAGGCCACCAGGAAUGAAGCUGCUGUGAACAUUUACGUAUAGAUUUUUGUGUGAUCAUUUCUUCACCUCUCCAGGGUACGUGUUUAGGAGUGGGAUUGCUGACUUGUACGAUCUUCCAAGAGAAAAGAUUUACACUGAGUUACAGCCACCAAGAGGGUUUCCUCAAUGACUCAGCGGGUAAGAAUCUGCUUGUAACGCAGGAGAGACAGGAGACUUCAAUCCCUGCGUCAGGAAGCUCCCUGGAGGAGGAAGUGGCAGCCCACUCCAGUUUUCUUGCCUGGAGAAUCCCAUGGACAGAGGAGCCUGGUGGGCUACAGUCCAAAAGGCCACAAAGAGUCAGACACGACGGAACACACAGCACACGUGGAGCCACCAAGAUACGUGAGAAUCCACAUCAGUGCGUGGAGCUUUUCCUUACGUGUUCACUGUAUCUCGAAAUGCUAGUGAAUGUAUUAUUUUCUCUACUAGUCAUUUCAUUCUAUAAUCAGAGUUACAUUCUCCACUAGUAGGGAGGUCUCAUUUCCUUAAAAUCCUUUCAAAUUACAGUUCCUUGUCUUGACAACCAUACCGGUACUGUUGUACUAACUGACAGGGGUCAGUUGCCUUGUGUUCCAAACCCUGCUAUAAAAAUUGAAAUGAAUAUUUUUCUUCAGCUCUGAAGGAAUAUAAUGUAAAUCAUCAAGCAUUAUGAUAUAAAUGUAUAUAAGUAGUGACUAUGAAAAAAAUAAGGCUAAUUAUUAUUUAACAUAACAAACCUUCAUUAAGGAUAAGCCAGUUCUAUCACUGGGCUGAAAGACACAGGAAAGUACCUAGAUUUUUCAGGAAACAAAAACCUAGCUGAAGUCUACACUGAAAUAUUGACUAUUUCUGUGGCUUUUUGAAAGCUGUUCCUAAAUCUUACUUUUCUUUUCUCUACAGUAGAAAAAAUAAAAAUACAAAGAAUCUCUCUCUCUCUUUAGUCGCUAAGUGGUGUCCAACUCUUGCGACCCCAUGGCCUGUAGCCUGCCAGGCUCCUCUGUCCGUGGAAUUCUCUAGGCCAGAAUACUGGAGUGGGUUGCCAUUUCCUUCUCCAGACAAAGGAUAGGGUCGGCCUAUAACUUAUUGUCCAGCUGGGACACUUUCUGCAUGUUUCCCGCAGAAAUUCUUUCAGGUCCUUUUAUGGGGGAAGUUUUGCUUGAAGUUUAAUACAUAUAUAGAAAAGUGUACAUAUCAUAAGUGGAUUUUCAAAAACAGAAUAUAUCUAUGAAAUAGAUUUAUUAUGAAACAACCAGAUUAAAAAAUCUAUAAAAUCAGUACCCAGACUAAGGAAUAGAGUAUGACCAACAUUUAAGCUCAGGUAUUUUCUCUUUUUUUAAAUGUACUUGGCACAGCACCUGCGAUCAAACUGGGGCUCCGGCCGUGAGGGUGUCAAAUCCUAAGCUCUGGACUACCGGGGAAUUCCCUAAGCUGAAAUAUUUUUGAGAAUGAAAGGUGGCAUUAUUUUUCAACAGCCAGUUGAGGUGUAUUGAUAUACAAUAAACUGUGCAUAUUUAAAUUUACAGUUUGUGAUCCUUUCAGCAGCACAUAUACUAAAAUCGGAACAAUACAGAGAGGAUUAGCAUGAGCCCUGUGCAGGCAUGACACGAAUUUGUGGAGCACUCUAUAUUUUAAAAAUAAUAAAAUAA